RNAcentral lists this ribosomal RNA (492 nucleotides) under uncultured bacterium. RNAcentral's name for it is "partial 16S ribosomal RNA". It matches the Rfam family "Bacterial small subunit ribosomal RNA", at positions 29 to 507 of the family's 1533-position model. The record is from RNAcentral.
AGUGAACGCUGGCGGUAGGCCUAACACAUGCAAGUCGAACGGCAGCACAGUAAGAGCUUGCUCUUACGGGUGGCGAGUGGCGGACGGGUGAGGAAUACAGCGGAAUCUACUUUUUCGUGGGGGAUAACGUAGGGAAACUUACGCUAAUACCGCAUACGACCUACGGGUGAAAGCAGGGGAUCUUCGGACCUUGCGCGAUUGAAUGAGCCGAUGUCGGAUUAGCUAGUUGGCGGGGUAAAGGCCCACCAAGGCGACGAUCCGUAGCUGGUCUGAGAGGAUGAUCAGCCACACUGGAACUGAGACACGGUCCAGACUCCUACGGGAGGCAGCAGUGGGGAAUAUUGGACAAUGGGCGCAAGCCUGAUCCAGCCAUACCGCGUGGGUGAAGAAGGCCUUCGGGUUGUAAAGCCCUUUUGUUGGGAAAGAAGAGCAGCAGGUUAAUACCCCGCUGUUCUGACGGUACCCAAAGAAUAAGCACCGGCUAACUUCGUG